Molecule: ribosomal RNA, 74 nt
Filed under: Brevibacillus sp. Leaf182
Lineage: Bacteria; Bacillati; Bacillota; Bacilli; Caryophanales; Paenibacillaceae
Description: partial 23S ribosomal RNA
Source: RNAcentral
GUUGAUAGGUUCGGUGUGGAAGCGCGGUAACGCGUGGAGCUGACGAAUACUAAUCGGUCGAGGACUUAUCCACA